Molecule: ribosomal RNA, 253 nt
Filed under: uncultured bacterium
Lineage: Bacteria
Description: partial 16S ribosomal RNA
Rfam family: Bacterial small subunit ribosomal RNA
Source: RNAcentral
UACGUAGGGGGCAAGCGUUGUCCGGAUUUAUUGGGCGUAAAGAGCGUGUAGGCGGCCUGAAAGGUCAGCUGUGAAAACUCGAGGCUUAACCUCGAGACGUCGGUUGAAACCAUCUGGCUAGAGUCCGGAAGAGGAGUGUGGAAUUCCCGGUGUAGCGGUGAAAUGCGCAGAUAUCAGGAGGAACACCGGUGGCGAAGGCGGGUCUCGGGGCCGAUACUGACGCUGAGGAGCGAAAGCGUGGGGAGCGAACAGG